RNAcentral lists this ribosomal RNA (499 nucleotides) under fungal sp. 9OL2-6A. RNAcentral describes it as "eukaryotic LSU rRNA". The stretch from base 149 to 302 matches the Rfam family "5.8S ribosomal RNA". Lineage: Eukaryota; Fungi. The record is from RNAcentral.
CCGAGUUUACAACUCCCAAACCCCUGUGAACAUACCACUUGUUGCCUCGGCGGAUCAGCCCGCUCCCGGUAAAACGGGACGGCCCGCCAGAGGACCCCUAAACUCUGUUUCUAUAUGUAACUUCUGAGUAAAACCAUAAAUAAAUCAAAACUUUCAACAACGGAUCUCUUGGUUCUGGCAUCGAUGAAGAACGCAGCAAAAUGCGAUAAGUAAUGUGAAUUGCAGAAUUCAGUGAAUCAUCGAAUCUUUGAACGCACAUUGCGCCCGCCAGUAUUCUGGCGGGCAUGCCUGUUCGAGCGUCAUUUCAACCCUCAAGCACAGCUUGGUGUUGGGACUCGCGUUAAUUCGCGUUCCUCAAAUUGAUUGGCGGUCACGUCGAGCUUCCAUAGCGUAGUAGUAAAACCCUCGUUACUGGUAAUCGUCGCGGCCACGCCGUUAAACCCCCAACUUCUGAAUGUUGACCUCGGAUCAGUAGGAAUACCCGCUGAACUUAAGCAUA